This 459-nucleotide ribosomal RNA is filed under the name uncultured bacterium. RNAcentral describes it as "partial 16S ribosomal RNA". It matches the Rfam family "Bacterial small subunit ribosomal RNA", at positions 338 to 795 of the family's 1533-position model. The record is from RNAcentral.
CCUACGGGAGGCAGCAGUGAGGAAUAUUGGUCAAUGGGCGUAAGCCUGAACCAGCCAAGUCGCGUGAGGGAUGAAGGUUCUAUGGAUCGUAAACCUCUUUUAUAAGGGAAUAAAGUGUGGGAUGUGUACUAUUUUGUAUGUACCUUAUGAAUAAGGAUCGGCUAACUCCGUGCCAGCAGCCGCGGUAAUACGGAGGAUGCGAGCGUUAUCCGGUUUUAUUGGGUUUAAAGGGGGCGUAGGCGGGUCGUUAAGUCAGUGGUGAAAUUGUGGGGCUCAACCCCGACCCGCCAUUGAAACUGGCGCUCUUGAGUGGAAGAGAAGUAGGCGGAAUGCGUGGUGUAGCGGUGAAAUGCAUAGAUAUCACGCAGAACCCCGAUUGCGAAGGCAGCAUGCCGGCUUCCUACUGACGCUGAAGCACGAAAGCGUGGGGAUCGAACAGGAUUAGAUACCCUUGUAGUC